CCUACGGGGGGCAGCAGUGGGGAAUAUUGCACAAUGGGCGCAAGCCUGAUGCAGCGACGCCGCGUGGGGGAUGACGGCCUUCGGGUUGUAAACUCCUUUCGCCAGGGACGAAGCGUGAGUGACGGUACCUGGAAAAGAAGCACCGGCUAACUACGUGCCAGCAGCCGCGGUAAUACGUAGGGUGCGAGCGUUGUCCGGAAUUACUGGGCGUAAAGAGCUCGUAGGUGGUUUGUCACGUCGUCUGUGAAAUUCCACAGCUUAACUGUGGGCGUGCAGGCGAUACGGGCUGACUUGAGUACUGUAGGGGUAACUGGAAUUCCUGGUGUAGCGGUGAAAUGCGCAGAUAUCAGGAGGAACACCGAUGGCGAAGGCAGGUUACUGGGCAGUUACUGACGCUGAGGAGCGAAAGCAUGGGUAGCAAACAGGAUUAGAUACCCUGGUAGUC
Molecule: ribosomal RNA, 445 nt
Filed under: Aliarcobacter cryaerophilus
Lineage: Bacteria; Pseudomonadati; Campylobacterota; Epsilonproteobacteria; Campylobacterales; Arcobacteraceae
Description: bacterial SSU rRNA
Rfam family: Bacterial small subunit ribosomal RNA
Source: RNAcentral